CCGGGAACACACCGAGGAACCCCGACACCACGAUCCUGCUCCAAAUCUCCUCCUCAGCUCCUUCUGCACACGCGUCCCCUACUCACCUUCGAGCACGCGCUCCCACAGGACAGGAAAAAAGGUUUAUGCAAAUAUCGAUAAACAAAGAUAAACACAUGCAUUUAUCCAUCGGUCCGGCGGCGGCGCACUAACGAGCCCACAUCACCAUAACGACCGAGCAGGGCGGAGAGACAGAGAGAAUCAUCUGCAUUAUGAAGAAAUGCUCAGAAAUCUGAUGGUGAGAAGAAGCAGCUGAAGUGAAGUGACGUUCUUCAGGGUUCUACUGUUAUACACACACACACACACACACACACACACACACACACACACAAACAGAUGUAUCUCCCCAGAAGCACUGAAGCAGAAUUUUGCAUGAAUAGUUUCUCAUUAAACUGAACGACGCGGAUGGAAGUGUAACACGUUCUCAUUUAACAGUGCGAUAGAAAAAUGUGUACCGAAAAAUUGUUGUGUGUAAAAUUUCAGCAUGAGGAAGCAUGAGAAGAGCUGACCAAUCAGGAGCGAGCAUUCAGCCUUCAAUUAAACAUGUGAUUAAUGAGAUUAAUUAUCUGAG
Long non-coding RNA from Silurus meridionalis, 610 nucleotides. RefSeq lists it as uncharacterized. Lineage: Eukaryota; Metazoa; Chordata; Actinopteri; Siluriformes; Siluridae. The transcript has 3 exons. The record is from RefSeq and is a predicted model, not a curated record.